UUGAUCCUGGCUCAGAUUGAACGCUGGCGUGCAGGCCUAACACAUGCAAGUCGAGCGGCAGCACAAGUAAGUUUACUUAUGAGGUGGCGAGCGGCGGACGGGUGAGUAAUGCCUAGGGAUCUGCCCAGUCGAGGGGGAUAACAGUUGGAAACGACUGCUAAUACCGCAUACGCCCUACGUGGGGAAAGAGGGGGACCUUCGGGCCUCUCGCGAUUGGAUGAACCUAGGUGGGAUUAGCUAGUUGGUGAGGUAAUGGCUCACCAAGGCGACGAUCCCUAGCUGUNACUGAGAGGAUGAUCAGCCACACUGGNGACUGAGACACGGUCCCAGACUCCUA
This 337-nucleotide ribosomal RNA is filed under the name uncultured bacterium. RNAcentral describes it as "bacterial SSU rRNA". It matches the Rfam family "Bacterial small subunit ribosomal RNA", at positions 13 to 341 of the family's 1533-position model. The record is from RNAcentral.